ACAGCAGUAGCCGCGGGAAUACGUAGGGUGCGAGCGUUAAUCGGAAUUACUGGGCGUAAAGCGUGCGCAGGCGGUUAUAUAAGACAGAUGUGAAAUCCCCGGGCUCAACCUGGGACCUGCAUUUGUGACUGUAUAGCUAGAGUACGGUAGAGGGGGAUGGAAUUCCGCGCGUAGCAGUGAAAUGCGUAGAUAUGCGGAGGAACACCGAUGGCGAAGGCAAUCCCCUGGACCUGUACUGACGCUCAUGCACGAAAGCGUGGGGAGCAAACAGGAUUAGAUACCCGAGUAGUCCCUGUCUCUUAUAU
RNAcentral lists this ribosomal RNA (305 nucleotides) under uncultured bacterium. RNAcentral describes it as "partial 16S ribosomal RNA". It matches the Rfam family "Bacterial small subunit ribosomal RNA", at positions 506 to 809 of the family's 1533-position model. The record is from RNAcentral.